AACGAACGCUGGCGGCGUGCCUAAUACAUGCAAGUCGAACGUUAGAUGUAGCAAUACAUCGAAAGUGGCGAACGGGUGAGUAACACGUAAGUAAUCUGCCUUUAAGAUUGGGAUAACCUUGCCAACGCGGGGCUAAUACCGGAUGUGAUUAACAGAACGCAUGUUUUGUUAAUUAAAGGAGUAAUCCGCUUAAAGAUGAACUUGCGGCCCAUUAGUUAGUUGGCGGGGUAACGGCCCACCAAGACCGCGAUGGGUAGCCGGCCUGAGAGGGUGUACGGCCACAUUGGGACUGAGAUACGGCCCAGACUCCUACGGGAGGCAGCAGUAGGGAAUUUUGCGCAAUGGACGAAAGUCUGACGCAGCAACGCCGCGUGAGGGAUGAAGGUCUUCGGAUUGUAAACCUCUGUUGAAUGGGAAAAAAGUAGCAAUAUUUGAUGGUACCAUUUGAGGAAGCACCGGCUAACUACGUG
Molecule: ribosomal RNA, 470 nt
Filed under: uncultured bacterium
Lineage: Bacteria
Description: bacterial SSU rRNA
Rfam family: Bacterial small subunit ribosomal RNA
Source: RNAcentral